This 72-nucleotide transfer RNA is filed under the name Aquificota bacterium. Its description in RNAcentral is "Aquificae bacterium (hydrothermal vent metagenome) tRNA-Ala". It matches the Rfam family "tRNA". From Rfam's summary of the family: Transfer RNA (tRNA) molecules are approximately 80 nucleotides in length. Their secondary structure includes four short double-helical elements and three loops (D, anti-codon, and T loops). Lineage: Bacteria; Pseudomonadati; Aquificota. The record is from RNAcentral.
GGGGGCGUAGCUCAGUGGGAGAGCGCCUGCAUGGCAUGCAGGAGGUCGUGGGUUCGAAUCCCACCGCCUCCA